AUGGAAUUGGCUGUGCCUGGCAUGGGGCAACCCUGGCCUCUCCUCAUGGAGGCCCCUGCAAUCCCACCACCAACAGUUUCACACCUGCACCUGAUAUAAAGAUACACAACCCAAUGUAAACAUCUGAAGGAAUAUUUUUCUUCCCAACCCCAGGACAACUGAGACUCACAGGCAUUACAAAUGGGAAUAUUUAGACUUGGAAGCUGAGUAUUUGGAAGGUGCUGACUAGGCUUCCCUGAAGAAGUUCCUUGUUGUGAAGAAAGCUUAACAAUAUGAAUUAUUAUUUAUUGAGUCUCUGGACAGUUUCUGAGCAAAACAUACACUUGAGUGAUCUGCCUUCUUCCACUAAGCCUACCAAGAGUGACAGAGAAAGGAAAACAGAGUGUAUUGCUCAUUUUGUUGAUCGAACUAUUCAAUGAAGUGAAGGGUUCUGCUUUGGUCAGCCCUACAGUGUAAAAAUAAAAUGAAAAACAAG
RNAcentral lists this long non-coding RNA (475 nucleotides) under Anser brachyrhynchus (Pink-footed goose). RNAcentral describes it as "lncRNA (ENSABRG00000008113.1)". The record is from RNAcentral. Lineage: Eukaryota; Metazoa; Chordata; Aves; Anseriformes; Anatidae.